GACCAUUGAUACGUUCGUUCAUCCGACUGCUGGUGUGGGAUUUGGACCAGGCCCACAUGGUGGAUAUUCUGGUGUUCAUUAUACAACGACAAAUACUUUUGGACAGCCAGGGUCCAAUGUGACAGUAUUUGGGGCACAGCCUACUCGUCCAAAUAAUUCAGCUCCAUGUGACAAGGCAGUGCUGAUAGUCUUUAUAGUGUUUGGUGUGGUGAUCGUUCUUCUGUGUGUCUUGACUCCAAUUAUCAUUUUUACUACUCAGCGCUAGUUGUAUAAACGUUAAUAAGUUAUAUGAAUUUGGAGAAACUUCAAACCCUACGUAUCUAUUUGCUAAAUUUUAAGUUUUGUCGGUAUCUUCAUCAGGUUCAGGAAAACGUUUAAAUAAUAUCAUAUUUUAUCUUAAUCCCGGCAUUUAUUUCGUGAAACUGUACAAGCCACAAAUUGUUGACUAAUUUACGUAUAUGUGAUAUCUUUACUUUUUAUAUAAAAAUUGUUUGUCUGUAUAUAUUUUGUUUUAAAUGUUCAUCAAUUUUUAUACUUCUUGAUACAAAUUUAAUGCAAAAUAUAAUAUAUUAUUGA
Ruditapes philippinarum (Manila clam) is the source of this 576-nucleotide long non-coding RNA. RefSeq lists it as uncharacterized. The transcript is spliced from 2 exons. Lineage: Eukaryota; Metazoa; Mollusca; Bivalvia; Venerida; Veneridae. The record is from RefSeq and is a predicted model, not a curated record.